GAUGAACGCUAGCGAUAGGCUUAACACAUGCAAGUCGAGGGGCAUCGAGGGUAGCAAUACCUGUCGGCGACCGGCGCACGGGUGAGUAACGCGUAUGUAACCUGCCCGCAACAGAGGGAUAACCCGGCGAAAGUCGGACUAAUACCUCAUAAAACAGGGGUUCCGCAUGGGGCUAUUUGUUAAAGAUUUAUUGGUUGCGGAUGGGCAUGCGUACCAUUAGGUAGUUGGUGAGGUAACGGCUCACCAAGCCAUCGAUGGUUAGGGGUUCUGAGAGGAAGGUCCCCCACACUGGUACUGAGACACGGACCAGACUCCUACGGGAGGCAGCAGUGAGGAAUAUUGGUCAAUGGGCGAGAGCCUGAACCAGCCAAGUCGCGUGAAGGAUGACUGCCCUAUGGGUUGUAAACUUCUUUUACAGGGGAAUAAAAUGAGAUACGUGUAU
This 442-nucleotide ribosomal RNA is filed under the name Tannerella forsythia. RNAcentral describes it as "bacterial SSU rRNA". It matches the Rfam family "Bacterial small subunit ribosomal RNA", at positions 28 to 465 of the family's 1533-position model. The record is from RNAcentral. Lineage: Bacteria; Pseudomonadati; Bacteroidota; Bacteroidia; Bacteroidales; Tannerellaceae.